AAGGCAGCCUUUUUCCCCCUGAGCACAACUCUAAUUAACAGCGGUGGAUGUAGAGAGGCCAGGCAAUGUGGAGCUACUAAGAGGGCCUGGGGCACUGGGCAGACUCACUGUCACCUCGGCUUAAGUGCUGGGUCUUGGGCAGCCAUCUCCUCUCAUCAGAUGCUUUCAGGAAAUGGGUUUGUGGUCAGCAAAAAUAAGCAAGAGCACAAAAGAAACCACCGCCAGUCCUCAGGCGCUGACUGCGAGGUAGAGCGUCAGAGAGGGAGAGACUGAAAGAGAAAGAAAGACUUGGAGCCAAGUAUGAGCAGUAUCCACUGACCUGACAGUGCUUCCUCAGUGGUGGAAUGGACCCACAAUGGGCCGGAACGGCAAGAAUGUGAUGGUGAAGCCUGGCCACUGACAGUCUGCCCCUAGGGGCACAAAUUACCCUGACUGGUACAAAGAAAAGAUGACACACGCAGCCUCAGGCCCCGUCUUCCUGGUCUUCCCGUCUCCAGUACAACCUAGUGAAUCAGAUUGCUUCCAAUUAAAGAUUCAGUCUUUUUUUUUUUUUCAAUGUCCACCGUGCUUUGUCUCAUAACACAGACAUGUCUU
Long non-coding RNA from Cyprinus carpio carpio, 594 nucleotides. NCBI's taxonomy places the organism in Eukaryota, Metazoa, Chordata, Actinopteri, Cypriniformes, Cyprinidae. The record is from Ensembl.